RNAcentral lists this ribosomal RNA (497 nucleotides) under uncultured bacterium. Its description in RNAcentral is "partial 16S ribosomal RNA". It matches the Rfam family "Bacterial small subunit ribosomal RNA", at positions 28 to 507 of the family's 1533-position model. The record is from RNAcentral.
GAUGAACGCUGGCGGCGUGCCUAAUACAUGCAAGUCGAGCGAACAGACGAGGAGCUUGCUCCUCUGACGUUAGCAGCGGACGGGUGAGUAACACGUGGAUAACCUACCUAUAAGACUGGGAUAACUUCGGGAAACCGGAGCUAAUACCGGAUAAUAUAUUGAACCGCAUGGUUCAAUAGUGAAAGACGGUUUUGCUGUCACUUAUAGAUGGAUCCGCGCCGCAUUAGCUAGUUGGUAAGGUAACGGCUUACCAAGGCAACGAUGCGUAGCCGACCUGAGAGGGUGAUCGGCCACACUGGAACUGAGACACGGUCCAGACUCCUACGGGAGGCAGCAGUAGGGAAUCUUCCGCAAAGGGCGAAAGCCUGACGGAGCAACGCCGCGUGAGUGAUGAAGGUCUUCGGAUCGUAAAACUCUGUUAUUAGGGAAGAACAAAUGUGUAAGUAACUAUGCACGUCUUGACGGUACCUAAUCAGAAAGCCACGGCUAACUACGUG